GGGGAAAAAUUAAUAAAAUAUAAGUAAUAAAAAAAUUUUUAAUAUUGGGGGGUAUUAAAGUAUUUUUUUAAGAAAAAAUAAAUUAUUUUAUAGUGUAUUAGUAUUGAAAAAGAAAUUUGAAAUAAAUGAAAAUAAAUUAUUAAUAAAGUAAUUUUAAUUUAGUGUAUCUUGUGUAUCAGAGUUUAUUAAAAAAUAUUUUUUUUAAAAAAAAAUCUCGAAUUUAAAAGAGUUAAUUAAUUAAUAAAGUUAAUGUAGAAAAAUUAUUUUAAAUAAUUAAUUUGAAAUGAAAUGUUAAUCGUUUUUAAAUAUAUCUAGUUAUUUUAGAAAAAAAUUUAAUUUAAAAUUUAAAAAAUUUUAUUAUUAAUUAAAUAAUUAAUAAUAAAAUAUUUAAAAUUAAAUAUAUUAAGGGAUAAGCUUUAAUAUAAAAAUUUAUAAUAAAUAUGUUUAAAUUAUAAAAAUUUUAAAAUUUAUAUUGUUUAAAAAUUAUAAUUUAUUAUAAAAAAUUUUAUAAAAAAUAAAAUUUAAUAUAAAAUUUAAUUUUAUAUAAAAUAAUAAUUAAAAAUAAUAAAAAAUUAAAAAUAAUGAUAAAAUUAGUAUAUUAUAAAUUAAAAUAAAUUUUAAUUAAUAAAAAUUAAAUUAAAGGAAUUCGGCAAAAUUUUAUAUUCACUUGUUUAUCAAAAACAUGUCUUUUAGAAAAUAAUUUAAAGUCUAAUCUGCCCACUGAUAAAUAUAUUAAAGGGCUGCAGUAUAUUGACUGUACAAAGGUAGCAUAAUCAAUAGUCUUUUAAUUGAAGACUUGAAUGAAAGAUUUGAUGAAAUAUAUUCUGUCUCUGAUUUAUAUAUAAAAUUUAAUUUUUUAGUUAAAAAGCUAAAAUGAAUUUAAAAGACGAGAAGACCCUAUAGAGUUUUAUAUUGAUAUUAUUUAAGAUUGUAUUUAUAAAUAAAAAUUAAAAAUAAUAUAAAUAUUUUAUUGGGGUGAUAAAAAAAUUAAUUUAACUUUUUUUAGUUAAUUAACAUAAAUAAGUGAAUAAAUGAUCCAUAAUUUAUGAUUAAAAGAAAAAAUUACCUUAGGGAUAACAGCGUAAUAUUUUUUUUUAGUACAAAUAAAAAAAAAAGUUUGCGACCUCGAUGUUGGAUUAAGAUAAAAUUUAAAUGCAAAAGUUUAAAGUUUUGAUCUGUUCGAUCAUUAAAAUCUUACAUGAUCUGAGUUCAAACCGGUGUGAGCCAGGUUGGUUUCUAUCUUUAAAAUUAAUAAAAUAUUUUAGUACGAAAGGAUCAAAUAUUUUUAAUAAUUAAAAUUUAUGAAUAUUAAUAAUUUAAUUAUAAA
This 1327-nucleotide ribosomal RNA is filed under the name Athyma daraxa. RNAcentral's name for it is "16S ribosomal RNA". Lineage: Eukaryota; Metazoa; Arthropoda; Insecta; Lepidoptera; Nymphalidae. The record is from RNAcentral.